Molecule: ribosomal RNA, 460 nt
Filed under: uncultured bacterium
Lineage: Bacteria
Description: partial 16S ribosomal RNA
Rfam family: Bacterial small subunit ribosomal RNA
Source: RNAcentral
CCUACGGGAGGCAGCAGUGAGGAAUAUUGGUCAAUGGACGCAAUUCUGAACCAGCCAUGCCGCGUGCAGGAAGACGGCUCUAUGAGUUGUAAACUGCUUUUGUACGAGGGUAAAUCCCGAUACGUGUAUCGGGUUGAAAGUAUCGUACGAAUAAGGAUCGGCUAACUCCGUGCCAGCAGCCGCGGUAAUACGGAGGAUUCAAGCGUUAUCCGGAUUUAUUGGGUUUAAAGGGUGCGUAGGCGGUUCGAUAAGUUAGAGGUGAAAUCCCGGGGCUCAACUCCGGCACUGCCUCUGAUACUGUCGGGCUAGAGUUUAGUUGCGGUAGGCGGAAUGUAUGGUGUAGCGGUGAAAUGCAUAGAGAUCAUACAGAACACCGAUUGCGAAGGCAGCUUACCAAACUACGACUGACGUUGAGGCACGAAAGCGUGGGGAGCGAACAGGAUUAGAUACCCCUGUAGUC